AAUGAAGUGUCUGAUGAAAGAAUUAUUUUGAUAGAAUAAGGUACGUAAAAUUUUUUACCUUCAUUA
RNAcentral lists this transfer RNA (66 nucleotides) under Ochthebius sp. IBE<ESP> RA617. RNAcentral's name for it is "tRNA-Ile". The record is from RNAcentral. Lineage: Eukaryota; Metazoa; Arthropoda; Insecta; Coleoptera; Hydraenidae.